GAUGAAGAACGCAGCGAAAUGCGAUACGUAAUGUGAAUUGCAGAAUUCAGUGAAUCAUCGUAUCUUUGAACGCAUAUUGCGCUCUCUGGUAUUCCGGAGAGCAUGCUUGUUUGAGUAUCAGUAAACACCUCAACUCCCUUUUCUUUUUUGAAAUUGGAGCUGGACUUGAGUGAUCCCAACGCUUUCUUCCAAGAAAGUGGCGGGUUGCUUGAAAUGCAGGUGCAGCUGAACUUUUCUCUGAGCUAUAAGCAUAUCUAUUUAGUCUGCCUAAAAAACAGAUUAUUACCUUUGCUGCAGCUAACAUAAAGGAGACUAGUUCUUGUGCUGACUGAUGCAGGAUUCACAGAGACAGCUUCGGCUGACUUUGUAAACUCGAUCUCAAAUCAAGUAAGACUACCCGCUGAACUUAAGCAUAUCAAUAAGCGGAGGA
RNAcentral lists this unclassified non-coding RNA (430 nucleotides) under soil metagenome. RNAcentral describes it as "partial contains 5.8S ribosomal RNA, internal transcribed spacer 2, and large subunit ribosomal RNA". The stretch from base 1 to 120 matches the Rfam family "5.8S ribosomal RNA", at positions 35 to 154 of the family's 154-position model. The record is from RNAcentral.